UACGGAGGGUGCAAGCGUUGUCCGGAAUCACUGGGCGUAAAGGGCGCGUAGGCGGCUCAUGAAGGCUGUGGUGAAAGUCCGGGGCUCAACCUCGGAUCGGCCGUGGCGACUCGUGGGCUGGAGCACUGUAGAGGCGGGUGGAAGUCCGGGGGUAGCGGUGGAAUGCGUAGAGAUCCGGAAGAACACCAGUGGCGAAGGCGGCCCGCUGGGCAGUGGCUGACGCUGAGGCGCGACAGCGUGGGGAGCAAACAGG
This 253-nucleotide ribosomal RNA is filed under the name uncultured bacterium. RNAcentral describes it as "partial 16S ribosomal RNA". It matches the Rfam family "Bacterial small subunit ribosomal RNA", at positions 524 to 776 of the family's 1533-position model. The record is from RNAcentral.